CUGAGCCCCAGCUGAGCAGAGGUUGGCUGCUCUUGUGCCUAAGGCAUGGGCUGGAACUCACAAGAUCUGGCUUUAGUUCCCAGUUUUGCCGCUGACUCCAUGUGUGACCUUUAAAGAGUCACUUCAUUUCUCUGUGCCUCAGUUUCACUAUCUGUGAAAUGGGUAACAUUGCUUGUCUAUUUGUAUUGUAACCAUCUCUCGCUCUGUGUCCUUGCAGUGCCAGAGCAAGGGUACCCAAUCUCAGUUCAGGUUUGUGCAGCACCUGGCACAAAGGGGCCCUAAUCUCAGGUGGGGCUGGUAGGCAGCACUGUAAUAUAAAUAAGUAAUAGCUAUAAGAGAAAUCUAUUUGCAUCCUGGAAAACAACAGCGCUUGCUCCAUAAAUUUCACACACUCCUGGAUGAAUGGUCGUUAUCCAGUGCUCCUCGGGGUGGAGCAUGUGGGUGUGGCACCAUGUGUUGUUAUUUCAAAUGGAAACUCCCCAUUCUCUCAUCUUCCUUUUAGAGUUAAAGAUGUCCAAAGAAUUCAACGUGUUUAACAGUCGACUUCUUAAUGUUUCCCAGGGUCUUGCUGAAGCCCAGCUGGAUCGAGAUGCUAUCAGAAGAGAUGCCCAGAGAAAUCUGUCACUUCACCAGGACUAUCUAGGUGAGAGGAUAAAGGAAAUGUUUCUAUUCCUUGUGGGUCUUCAAGGAUCUUUUCUGGUCCUUACACCUCAAGGGAGGAGAGAGUGGGGCCCAUGGGGUCAGGUGCAGGGCUGGUGAAGUUGAUGUAGCUCCUUGGACUUCAGUGGAGCUGAGCAGACAUACAUCAGUUGGGGAUCUGACCAUCACUAAAACAGGACUGUAGAUUAUUGUGGGGUGUGGGAGAAACAUAGGAGGUGGAAGCAGCUCUUAAAAGUUGUUGGAU
This 904-nucleotide long non-coding RNA is filed under the name Chrysemys picta bellii (western painted turtle). RNAcentral's name for it is "lncRNA (ENSCPBG00000006328.1)". Lineage: Eukaryota; Metazoa; Chordata; Testudines; Emydidae. The record is from RNAcentral.